UUCCAUCUUUACUUUUGACGGCAAACGAGGUUUUGUUUUUCCUGUUGUUCUCAUGCAUGUUUUCUUUUCAUUCUCAUGCAUAUUAACUUUUCGUUUUUUCUGUGUUUUUGGUCCCUUUGCUGUUGUCCAUCUUUUGUUGAGCGGAGAAGUUUUGACUAUUACUUCCUUUUAUUGAUGUUUUCCUAGUAAGUCAUGGUUGUUUGUUUGGUGUUUUUGAUGUUCUCAUGGAUGUUUGCUUUUCGUUUCUCAAUGUUAUACAUUUUAAGUUAUAGAAUCAAUGUUAUAGUUGUUUGUUUCAUGUUUUUCCUUCCUUACUGAUUUUUCUCGCUUUGUUUUUGUUUUCUUUCUGAUUUUCCCGCUUGCAAGGUGGUCCACGAAAAAACAUCCAGCAGGCGAGUUUCUUUCUUUGUGCUUUAUUUUAUUUUAUGCAUGUUUGUGCUUGCUUUGUUGCUGACUCUGGAACUUGCAUGAGCAUUUUGAUUUGUAACUAAUGGCCUGCCUUUGAUUGUUUCUGGUCGUCACAGUUUUCCAUUUACAAGAUGAUGCAGGAAGAAGCAUCUAUAUACAAUCUAAUAAAAGAGAAGCCCCAUGAAAUCCCUAUAAUGAACUAAUCAGAAAAUGUUCACAGAUCUGUGAGGUGUGGGAGAACAACUAGCCACUGUAAGAACCUUGCUCUGGAGUAUGAGAAAGCUGCUUCUAUCUCGAGUAGUCAUGAUCCUCCUAUUGUUUUGGCUAAAGUAGAUGCCAAUGAGGAGAAGAACAGGAGGAUGGUUUAAUGUAUAUUUUUAAGAUACUGAUAUAAAAGUAUGGGCAGCAGUGAGAUGGAUAAAACUCCAAAAGAGAAGGAGUCAAAGACACCGCCACCACCACCUACGUCACAGGAGCAGUCUUCGACCACCAGCAGUGGAACAAUUAAUCCUGAGUGGCCUGGCUUUCAGGCAUAUUCUCCUAUAGCUCCACAUGGUUUCUUGGCAUCAAGUCCCCAGGCUCACCCUUAUAUGUGGGGUGUCCAGGUAGAAGCUCUUAGAUUUUGCUGAACUCAAGGACAACUCUAUAUCUUUCUUUGACAUUGAGAAACAUGAAACUGCCAUUUUCCGUUGGUCUAGAGCUACAACCAGAGCUGCCAAGGAAUUGAAUAGAGCUUUACAAAAUUGAUAGGUUAUUUUGCCCUGGAAUGGAAUUGGUGGAAAGGGGCUUCCCAUUGAUAUAUUUUUUGACUCUGCAUAAGGUUGUACAAAUAGAAUGCCUGAAAUUUUGUAAUACAUUCUGAAGAAACUCACUCUGUCUCAACAAGUGAGCUGCAAAUAGCUCUUUUCUUCAAAUGCGGUAACACUUCAUGGUCACAUCCAAUGGUAAUUGUGACAACCACACAGGUUGAGAGCAAAAGGCAGAAUAUUGAGAUUUGAGAGGCAAGUGACUACCUAUAUUAUUUCUUACAUUGCAUUCCUUUAUUCAUAUCACCUAAUGCCUCUAAUACAGAUACGUAAUUUAGUUUCACAGUUUAUCUCAGACAUUUGCUUCAUUAACUUUGUGUUUAUAUUACUUUUUUGUGUUUUUCUUCUUGCUGCUUUACUAGAAUUUAUUUACACUUGUUCAUACAAUUAAUGAUGAGCGGACUUUUUUUUAA
Long non-coding RNA from Glycine soja, 1627 nucleotides. RefSeq lists it as uncharacterized. The record is from RefSeq and is a predicted model, not a curated record. The transcript is spliced from 8 exons. NCBI's taxonomy places the organism in Eukaryota, Viridiplantae, Streptophyta, Magnoliopsida, Fabales, Fabaceae.